This 399-nucleotide ribosomal RNA is filed under the name Staphylococcus pseudintermedius. RNAcentral describes it as "partial 23S ribosomal RNA". It matches the Rfam family "Bacterial large subunit ribosomal RNA", at positions 1 to 392 of the family's 2925-position model. The record is from RNAcentral. Lineage: Bacteria; Bacillati; Bacillota; Bacilli; Caryophanales; Staphylococcaceae.
AGAUUAAGUUAUUAAGGGCGCACGGUGGAUGCCUUGGCACUAGAAGCCGAUGAAGGACGUUACUAACGACGAUAUGCUUUGGGGAGCUGUAAGUAAGCUUUGAUCCAGAGAUUUCCGAAUGGGGGAACCCAGCACGAGUUAUGUCGUGUUAUCCGCAUAUGAAUUCAUAGUAUGUGAGAAGGUAGACCCGGAGAACUGAAACAUCUUAGUACCCGGAGGAAGAGAAAGAAAAAUCGAUUCCCUGAGUAGCGGCGAGCGAAACGGGAAGAGCCCAAACCAACAAGCUUGCUUGUUGGGGUUGUAGGACACUCUAUACGGAGUUACAAAAGUAUUUGUUAGACGAAUAACCUGGAAAGGUUAAUCAGAGAAGGUAAUAAUCCUGUAGUCGAAAACGAAUAC